CUGCAUGGCUGUCUCAGCUCGUGUCGUGAGAUGUUGGGUUAAGUCCCGCAACGAGCGCAACCCUUGUCAUUAGUUGCCAUCAUUUAGUUGGGCACUCUAAUGAGACUGCCGGUGACAAACCGGAGGAAGGUGGGGAUGACGUCAAGUCCUCAUGGCCCUUAUGGGUAGGGCUUCACACGUCAUACAAUGGUCGGUACAGAGGGUUGCCAAGCCGCGAGGUGGAGCCAAUCCCUUAAAGCCGAUCGUAGUCCGGAUCGUAGUCUGCAACUCGACUACGUGAAGUCGGAAUCGCUAGUAAUCGCAGAUCAGCAUGCUGCGGUGAAUACGUUCCCGGGUCUU
Molecule: ribosomal RNA, 339 nt
Filed under: uncultured Thauera sp.
Lineage: Bacteria; Pseudomonadati; Pseudomonadota; Betaproteobacteria; Rhodocyclales; Zoogloeaceae
Description: bacterial SSU rRNA
Rfam family: Bacterial small subunit ribosomal RNA
Source: RNAcentral